UUCUCCUUAGCUCAGUUGGUUAGAGCGUCUGACUGUUAUUCACAAAACGACAUCAGGAGGUCCACAGUUCAAACCUGUGAGGGGAAG
RNAcentral lists this transfer RNA (87 nucleotides) under Coniochaeta sp. 2T2.1. It matches the Rfam family "tRNA". From Rfam's summary of the family: Transfer RNA (tRNA) molecules are approximately 80 nucleotides in length. The record is from Rfam by way of RNAcentral. Lineage: Eukaryota; Fungi; Ascomycota; Sordariomycetes; Coniochaetales; Coniochaetaceae.